RNAcentral lists this ribosomal RNA (459 nucleotides) under uncultured bacterium. RNAcentral's name for it is "partial 16S ribosomal RNA". It matches the Rfam family "Bacterial small subunit ribosomal RNA", at positions 338 to 795 of the family's 1533-position model. The record is from RNAcentral.
CCUACGGGUGGCAGCAGUGAGGAAUAUUGGUCAAUGGGCGGGAGCCUGAACCAGCCAAGCCGCGUGAGGGAAGAAGGUACAGCGUAUCGUAAACCUCUUUUGUCAGGGAACAAAGGCGGGGACUAGUCCCCGGAUGAGGGUACCUGAAGAAAAAGCAUCGGCUAACACGGUGCCAGCCGCCGCGGUAAUAUGGAGGAUGCGAGCGUUCUCCGGAUUUGUUGGGUUUAAAGGGUGCGAAGGCGGCCUGUUAAGUCAGCGGUAAAAGCCCGGGGCUCAACCCCGCCGCGCCGUUGAAACUGGCGGGCUGGAGUUGGGGAGAAGUACGCGGAAUGCGCGGUGUAGCGGUGAAAUGCUUAGAUAUCGCGCAGAACCCCGAUUGCGAAGGCAGCGUACCGGCUCCACACUGACGCUGAGGCACGAAAGCGUGGGUAUCGAACAGGAUUAGAUACCCCUGUAGUC